AGUGGGGAAUCUUAGACAAUGGGCGCAAGCCUGAUCUAGCCAUGCCGCGUGAGCGAUGAAGGCCUUAGGGUUGUAAAGCUCUUUCAGUGGGGAAGAUAAUGACUGUACCCACAGAAGAAGCCCCGGCUAACUCCGUGCCAGCAGCCGCGGUAAUACGGAGGGGGCUAGCGUUGUUCGGAAUUACUGGGCGUAAAGCGCACGUAGGCGGACUGGAAAGUCAGGGGUGAAAUCCCGGGGCUCAACCCCGGAACUGCCUUUGAAACUCCCGGUCUUGAGGUCGAGAGAGGUGAGUGGAAUUCCGAGUGUAGAGGUGAAAUUCGUAGAUAUUCGGAGGAACACCAGUGGCGAAGGCGGCUCACUGGCUCGAUACUGACGCUGAGGUGCGAAAGCGUGGGGAGCAAA
This 402-nucleotide ribosomal RNA is filed under the name uncultured Rhodobacter sp. RNAcentral describes it as "bacterial SSU rRNA". It matches the Rfam family "Bacterial small subunit ribosomal RNA", at positions 353 to 772 of the family's 1533-position model. Lineage: Bacteria; Pseudomonadati; Pseudomonadota; Alphaproteobacteria; Rhodobacterales. The record is from RNAcentral.